RNAcentral lists this microRNA precursor (165 nucleotides) under Oryza brachyantha (malo sina). RNAcentral describes it as "MIR812 microRNA precursor family". It matches the Rfam family "MIR812 microRNA precursor family", at positions 27 to 190 of the family's 205-position model. Lineage: Eukaryota; Viridiplantae; Streptophyta; Magnoliopsida; Poales; Poaceae. The record is from Rfam by way of RNAcentral.
UUCAAUGUUUGACCAUUCGUCUUAUUUAAAUUUUUGUUGAUUAAUAUUUUUAUUAUUACUAGAUGAUAAAAUAUAAAUAGUACUUUAUACGUGACUAAUUUUUUUUAAGUUUUUAUAUAAAUUUUUUAAAUAAGACGGAUGGUCAAACGUUGGACACGAAAAAAC